CCAAGUCGGAGGAGCCGCUGGAGUGUCUCCCUCUACCGGAGGCUCUCGGGCGGCGGGCGCGGGCCUGCUCCUGCGGCGGGGAGGCGGGCAGCCUGGAGAAGCGGCUCCACUCGCGGGGAGCCUCGGAUGGGGAGCGCGGGGGUACCCCCCUCCCCAGGAACUCAGGAGCAACCUCCUUCCCCACAAGGCAAGUCCUCCUUUAGCGAACAAGCGGGGCCGAAUUCCAAGACAACUGCUGGUGCUGAGGGGACCGAGAUGAGAUAGGGAGGCUGGAAGUCCAAGAUCAAGGUGCCAGCAGAGUCGGUUUCUGGAGAGGCUUCUGCUCCUGGCUUAUAGAUGGCACCUUCUCACUGUGUCCUCACAUGGCCCCUCCUCUGUGUACACAGGCAGAGAGACAGCUCUGGCCUGGUUGACAGACUUAUCACUGGUCACCUGGAAUAUUCUGAUAAUUUUCUAACUGGUCUAAAUGCCUCCGAUACCUCCAAUCCCUCCUACACACUGACACAAGAAUGUUCUUCCUAAAACAAAGCGCCCUUGGAUCCCCCAAAAGAGAACACCAGCUCUGGAAUCACCAGGACUUGGCUCAGAUCUCCACCCUGUAAUGAAAUGGCCAGCUAUCUGGGACGUUACUGGCAAGUGCC
Molecule: long non-coding RNA, 641 nt
Organism: Sapajus apella (tufted capuchin)
Lineage: Eukaryota; Metazoa; Chordata; Mammalia; Primates; Cebidae
Exons: 4
Source: RefSeq, a predicted model, not a curated record